Molecule: ribosomal RNA, 253 nt
Filed under: uncultured bacterium
Lineage: Bacteria
Description: partial 16S ribosomal RNA
Rfam family: Bacterial small subunit ribosomal RNA
Source: RNAcentral
UACGUAGGGUGCGAGCGUUAAUCGGAAUUACUGGGCGUAAAGCGUGCGCAGGCGGUUUUGUAAGCCAGAUGUGAAAUCCCCAGGCUCAACCUGGGAACUGCGUCCGAUACUGGCAGGCUUGAAUCCGGGAGAGGGAUGUGGAAUUCCAGGUGUAGCGGUGAAAUGCGUAGAUAUCUGGAGGAACACCGGUGGCGAAGGCGGCAUCCUGGACCGGCAUUGACGCUGAGGCGCGAAAGCUAGGGGAGCAAACGGG